CAAUCAUAUAUGCAGCAAGGUAGUACAAAUGUGUCAUUUUCCAACAUUUGGAGACACCAAUAGCAUUUGCAGCUAGAUUUGUUGGCAUUUUAAAAACAAGAAAGUGACUCGAAAAAGAAGGAAGAAAAGCAUGGCUUUCUGACUACUUAAUUGCGCAUGGUUGGAAGGAUCUCAGACGUUUAAUCAACGUGCUUACCGAUCACAUCACGUUGACCAAAUCGUAACCACCGGAUAUUUUAGAAAGCCACAGGUUUGGGCAAAGGAAAGAUCACGGAGAAUUUGGAAGGAAAAAAACAAACAGACUCGAAUUGCUUUUACAAGAAGCCACGUAACAGCUCUAGAAAACAUGACAAUUGCAUGACUAACAGCUCUACCUUCUUCCUCAUCAAGAAAUGCAUGCUCAUAAAGAAAACCCACAUUAACUUUCAAUACAGUUCAUCAACACGUUGUUCUAAUUCCCAAUAGUAACAGAAAAAAUAAAAUACGGCGAGCAAGGGAAUUCACAAAUAAAUUUGUGCUCCAAUAUCUUGUCAGCGAUCAAACGAGCCAACAUGCCCGACAAGGAAUCAGAUUCCAUCGCAUCAGCCAUAUCUCAAGUUUAACAUUACAGCCAAUCCGUUACCCAAAAAAAAAAUGCAGCCAACUAAGCAGGCAGGUAGAAUUUAUUGAGAUUCGACGCUCCAGUAGGCUCAGGAGCACGGGAGGAAGGUUGGAAAAAGCAAAAGCGUCAGGCCGAAUUCACGCCCACCCACCCGGAAUCCCGUUACAUCGCCGCACCGAAAGCACCAAAUGCAAUCGCUCACCCGUGAUCCCAAUUCCAGCGCAACAUGAAGAACCAGACAAAUCACAUCGAAACGAACGGGAACAAAGGAACGUUUUUUUUUCUUCCUCGAACGACAAGCUGGCAGGGAGAUCGACGGGGGAUCGCGACCAUAACAACGAAAACAAAAAAAAACAGAGAUUUUUUUCACACUGCAUUCCAACCUGAACAACGAAGGAGCAAGCAACAGCGGGUGAGGAAACAAACGCACAGAGAUCGGGCCGGCGCGCGGCGGCCGCACCGGCCGGCGG
Molecule: long non-coding RNA, 1071 nt
Filed under: Setaria italica (foxtail millet)
Lineage: Eukaryota; Viridiplantae; Streptophyta; Magnoliopsida; Poales; Poaceae
Description: long non-coding RNA (SITA_LNC004238)
Source: RNAcentral